This 8865-nucleotide long non-coding RNA is filed under the name Daucus carota (carrot). Its description in RNAcentral is "long non-coding RNA (DCAR_LNC001540)". Lineage: Eukaryota; Viridiplantae; Streptophyta; Magnoliopsida; Apiales; Apiaceae. The record is from RNAcentral.
UUUUCUUCCCGGAAGUUUCGAGAAAACUCACCUUUAGCCUAAUUUGAAUAUUCCGGACAUUUUUCGUGUUUUGACUUUUUCGAUCCGGAGUACGGUUUUCCCCGGAGUCGGUCCGGCGGAGUUUUCGGGUAUUUUAAUUGUCGAUAAUUAUCCAGUUUGUCUCGAUAAACGUGAACCGAGAUAUUUUCUUCAUCCUUAUCAUGUAAUAAUUGCAGUGGGACCCGCAGACCAAUAAUUGAGUUAAAAAGCCCCGUUUUGAUGAUUAUCUUGAAAACUAGUACCGAUUGGACCCCACUUUCUUAAUAUAAAGCUAUUAAAUACGUAUUUUCAUGUCAUAAACGAUCCAAAGGGGAACCAAUUAUUUGUAAGUAUAAAUAUACCUUUCUAGAGCUUAUUUUCACCCGUAAAAUCAUUUCACCAGUUUCUCCGCACGAUAAUCGAGAGAAACCGAGCGGUGUUCUUCGUGUUCUUCAUAUUCAAACGAGGAUUUGAAGAUGUUAUUGGAAUCCGAUGGAGGCGUAUGAAUAGUCAAAACGAAGAUAUCGAUGCGUAGAAUCAAGUUUAAUCAUCUGUUUGUGUGCAGAUUCAACAGGUGAAUUGUUAUUAAUUUUACAAAUUUCGAAAUAUUAUGAGUUAAAUAGUGAAUUUUUGAAAACGUGUUUGUUUGAUUGUUUGGAUGAUUCCACGUUGUAGAGCAUGUUUUUCUCGUCGUUUUGGUAUAUUAUAUGUCAAAAACGGAGUUCGAUAACAUAUAGAAAAUGAGGUUUAAUCUUCAAAAGUCAUGUUCUUGGUGUUCUUGAGUAUUGGCCGGAAAAUUUUGAAUUCUUGCCGGAGAAUCACUUCGGCUUAACCUGGGUAGAUGUUAAAGCUAUAAAAAUGCUCCUGGAGAUGAGUAGAAUAUGUGUAUAUGAUCAUUUGUGGUGUUGGAGCCGUAAUGGAGGUGCCGGAAUCUGGAAAACGGACGUCGCCGGCGUCCGUUCUUCGGAUUUUUCCGGCUGAUUCGAGAGCUUCCAGCAUGAUUUAAGAGUGUAAUCAUGUUUUUGAGUGGUUGAAGGACAGAUCUGGAGUUUUUGGGGAUGUGGGGUGGCCGGGAACGCUAGUUCCGGCGAGAGCAGGGGUGGCCGGCGGCAAAUUGCCGUUUGGCCACCCAACUUACGAAAAUGGUGAAGUUUUGAUACUGGGGUUUCAAUUCUGACGAAUUGACCCCUGUAACUUUGAAAAGUUACACUUUACACCCUUGCCAGAAACUUUCAAAAACUUACAAAAUAAACCUUUUGAUUUAAUUUUUAAAAAUUGUUUUAUUUAAUUAUUUUAAAUUCCAAAAAUAGUUUUUAAUUAUUUCUUUAUUUAAAAAUAAAUCUAAAUUGAUUUAUUAAUUAAUUUUAAUUAGUAAUUAAUUAUUUUAAUUAGUCAAUUAAUUUAAAUAUUAAUUGAUUAAUUAUUUUAAUUAAUUAUUAAUUGAUUUUAAUUGAUUAAUUAAUUGGAUUUAAUUAAUCCUUUUUGAUUUAAAAAUUCCGAAAAAUAGUUUCGAGCUUUGAAAUAUUUUUCUAAAUUAUGUUCAAGGCUCGACAAUUGUUUAUGAAUAAUUUCAAGUCCAGUUUUGAGCAUCCGGACUUGAUUAUUUAUUUGAAAAAUGAUUCUUUUAUCCGUUUUAAUUCCGAAAAAAUGUUUAAAAAUUCCAGAAAAUUCCCGAAAAAUCAUUUUUAACCCAAGAGUUGAUUUGAUAUCAAUCGGGGUGGGAAACCUUAUGUGUAAUGUGUUGUCUGCUAUUGGUUGGAUGUGUUAUGUGCCGAUAGGAGAGUGAGAAAACUGUUUUGAGCAUAACUUUUGAUCCGUAAGUCGGAAUCAAGUGAAACGAAAGAGAGACAGAAGCUUAUAAAGUCUAGUUUGAUAUAACAUAAUAAUAUGAUGGAGUCGAGAAUGUGAAUAAUUGUUGUUAAAUGUGCACAAUGUGAUUAUAUGUUAAUUGAUUGCUAUUAAUUGAUGAUUACGUGAUAUACAUGUUUAUUCAUGAUAGUAUACAUGUGUGAUAAAAGAUUUGGAUGACAUAGUGUCGUGAGUUGAUUGAUAUUGGAUAAGAAGAUAUGGAUUAUAAUGAUUGGAUUUGGUUGGUUGAUUGUUGAUUGAGAUAGGAUAACAGGUGGAUAGUCUAAUAAAUAGACGAGAUGAUGUCGGAUUUUCGAUAGGAUUCAUAUGAUAAGUGAUUGGUAAUAUGUUAUGUGGAAUAUGACUUGACUAUAUGGUAGAGUCAAAGCAUGAUUACGUGUUAAGUGAUAUGUGAUAAGUUUAAAGGGGUAUAUAAGUGGGUAUCGAUAUACGUGAUAUGUAUAUGCGAUAUAUUGUUUAGUGACUAUAGUAUUAUCUUAUUCUCGUAAAGGAUUUGGACGAGACGUGUACGCUCGAAGACGUCAGAAAGUCGGAAUGGUAUUGCAAAGCGAAUAAGGGAUGAAUCGAGUAAGCGAAGCGAUGUGGCGAAUAGAGUAUAGCUAGAGAUGGUCUAGAGAUUACGAGAUGCAUAGAUUGUGAAAGUUGAAAGAUGAGAUUGAGCUGUGAGACUGGAGUCAGAUUUAAGGCAAGUAUCCUAAACCUUUCUCUUGGAUAUAUUGCAAAUAUUCUGAUCCAUUCCUUUGGUAUAUGUUUCAAGUAUUCAUACCUUUCUUUUCAAUGUUCGAAAGUGCGAGUAUUCUGACCCAUUCUUUCUAAUCUUCAAGUUUCUAAAGAAUUUCCGUUUUACAAAUUAAUUCGAAGUUCAGAUUGUCAUUGAAGCAUGUGUUGCUCAGUGAUAGUUAGAGCUUUGAAUGAAUUGGGAUCUUCUUGAUUAUUCAACCCGCCAUUGUCAUGCUGGUUUAGCAGGCUAAAUUCAGUUGCUUAGCCGAUAAUGGAGGAUACUGAAUAGUUGAGGAUUUCCUGAACUGUGAUUUAUGAAAUGAUGGAUCAUGAUUUAUGAAUAGAUUAUUAUCAAAGUUUGAAUUGGAAUUAUUCUGUUGUUGAUGAUAUUUAUGAUGAUGUUCUGUUAAUUUACAUUGGCUUCUUGAAUUGAAUUAGAGAAUUGGAUUAUUGUUUUUAUAUAAACCUGUGGACCAGAUUCGUGGUCAUGUUAGGCCAAUGAGUGCCUUGGAUCCAGUGAUAGAGCAUGGCGGGGCCUGCUCGGGGUUAGUGCGGAACUGAUCAGCUGCCUAACCUUGGUUUUAAUUAAAAUGUGAUAGUCCAAUUCAAUAAUUCUUUGGAAAGAUUGAAUUUCUCAGUUUAAAUGCUGCAAGGUAUUGUAAAUCAUUCUAUACAAUACCAUGAACUCAUGAACUCAGGUUGAAUCCUCUUAUAUCUUGAACUCGUGAACUUCUGUUAUAUCAUUUCAGAACUAUCAUUGUUUAUUAUUACUUGCUGAGCAUUGUUGCUCACCCUUGCUAUUCCUUUCUAACCAUUUCAGAAAGGCUUAAAGAUGAGAUGAUUGAUUGAGAUUGUGAGUAAGGCUAAUGCUAGGCGAGGAGACAGAGUUGAGGAUCCAGUGGUCGAGGAGUGUUCAGGAAAGUUGAUGAGGUUGGUGCAAGCUGGAAUAGUUGACAGUGAUUCUUCUUAUCGAAGAUGAUCUGAUUUGGUAAGAGAUGUUGUGUAAUAAUAGUGGUAGAUUCUAAUUUCAAUACUGUAACCUGGAUGCGAUCCUGUUGCUUUUAGGGGGUUUAAAUGUUCUCUUUCGAAUCAUUUAUUAAAGUUUAAAUGUUCUCUUGAAAUUCUCCUAUUAUGGCUUUCAAGUUUGAAAUUCAGGUUUUGAAAUCAUUCGAUUUAUGUUCUCAUUCAAAUCUUUUAUUAAAUGUUUUCAGGUUUUAAAUUCUCUGAUUUUAUUAUCUUUUGAAAAAAAAAAAAAAUUACAGGUUUUCGAAAGUGUUUACAAAUGGGUUUUAUGUGGUGACGUCAGAAUCCAGACCCCCGGAUUCUCGGGCUGUCACAGUUUGUAUCAGAGCAACAGGUUAUAAGUAUUUGAAAUUAGAAUAUAGAUCAUAGUUAUAGGUUUUCUAGAGAAGAAUGUGGUGUAACCUCACAUAGAGGUAUGGUCGGACUAUUUAGGAAUAGUCUAGAGAUGUGAGUGAAGCAUAGAGUUUAGUUAGAUGAUCAAGUUAAGUGUGGAUAUUUAAAGAGAUUAGGAUUCUUAAGUUUAGACAUAUGAUUUCUAGUAUGUUGAUUAAUUGAGAUGGUGAAUUGUGGAAAAGGUCAGUAUUAGACCUAUAUAGAAGAGUUUGAUAGUGAAUGAUUGAGUUGAGAAUGGUGAAAAUGCAGAGUUCAGAGUAUUCUGACUAUACUGCAUAUUUGAAAUUGGAUUAUUGUAUUGAUUUGAGGAUGAUAUAAAUGCAUGGUUCAUAGUAUGUUGACCAUGUCAGAUAUUUGGAAGAUGUAUAUUGUUUUGAGUGAAGAUAUGAAGAGUAAGUGUAGAGUAUGAGUUGUAUUGGAUUAGAAGGAGAGAUUGGUAGAUAGAGGUUGAUAGGUGAGAAGUGAAUGAUAGAGAGUACGUGGAAUUGAGUCCAGUUAUUAGAGAUGAUGUCUACGAGUAAGUUAGAACGUUAGUCCUCGACGACAACGCUUCGAGCUAAUCGGGAUUUCAAAUGGCAUCAAGGUGGGCCCAUAACCCACAGGUUGAUGAUCCAGACAAUCGAAGAUACGUUACGUGUUUGUGCUAUGGAUUUCAAAGGCAACUGGGAUAAAGUAGAAGAAUGUAAACUACAUGGGCCAGAGUUAUUACGGACGAUAACGUCUACGAUGACAUCUUACGAGGCUAUUACGAGUCAAAUCGAUUGAUCAUCAAGAACGUUGAAAAGAAGACAUAUAUCGUACAAUGAUUUAUUGAAGUAGAGUCGGAAUCUGAGAAGACCUUGGCAAUACCUCUCUUCAACUAAAGAUUCUUUUGAUUGUUUUCUCAUCAGUGAGAUAUUAUCAUGAUAUCUUUUCUACAAAAGUUUUGAUAAAUGAGAUCUUCAAUUUCUCAAAUUCUAAGAUGACAUUGAUAUUGAUUAUUGGUAUGAGUUGGAAAGCAAAGAUGUGUGAUAAAGGUUUGUUGUGAAGAGAUAGUGAUGUUCCUUGAUAUUGUUUGACAUUUCUUGACAUUCCUUGAUACCCUUUCAUCUUCCUUGAUAUCCCUUAGUGUUCUUUGAUAUUGUUGAUAUUCCUUGAUAUUCUCUGGUAUUCCUUAACAUUUCUUCAAUUUGAUUGGGAUGAACAACCCUAUUUAUAGGGGACACAAGGUAUACCUGUCUGUGUGAUAGGAGUUGGAUGGGACGCCAUCACUUGUGUGUGUUGUGAUUACAAGAAGGUUAACAACCUUUAGUAGUGUCUAAUAUGGACACGCAACAUUAAGUUCAUUUGAUCGUAUUGAUCUCCCAGUCACUCUUGUAUUCCAAUGUGACCUAUUUUGAAAACAUCUUGUUCCUCCGAAAUUCCCAAAGAUUGAUUCUUGGGAAAUGAAGUUUGCAAUUGUGAAGGUUUUGAUUCUCCUAUUUCUUUAACUUUGAAGGUAUGCCAAAGUUGAUCAAAGGCGGAUAAGCAUGUGAUAUUAUGAAGGCUGUACAAUGAUCUUAUAAAUGAUACGUUUUAGUUCUCAUCGCGGAUUCUGAGGACAGAAUCCUUAUAAGGGGGGUAGAAUGUAAUAUCCCAUGUUUUUAAAAUUAGUUUAUGAUUAUUAUAGAUCUAAUAUGUUGAUAUUAUUGUUGGCUUUAAUGGAAUAGUGACAUGAUUAUGUGAAUAGUGUGAAUGUGAUUAUUUUUGUUAUUUGGAUUAAUAUGGAUUUUACAGAUUUUGCGUCCUCCUUCUUUCUCUGAUUCCGAGGACGGAAUCCCUAUAAGGAGGGUAGAUUGUAAUAACCCGGAUUUUAAAAAUAUUUUUAUUAGUAUUAUAAGUGGUCUUCUUAAUAAGUAAGGAAUAAGAUUUAAUAUUUUAUUCCAGUUUAAGGAGUUUUCAAAAUUUUAUAUUAAACCCCGGGUUAUUGUGUUAUUGAUAAAUGAUUAUAUUUUUAAAACUGAUUUUCAUAUAUUGUUUCGAAAAUUCUAGAUGAUUAUUAUGUGAAUAUAUGUGUGAUGUGAGUAAGUGGUAUUGGUGGAUUUGUUGGUUAAUUAAUUAUGGUUAAUUAUGAGUAUUAUAUGAUUAAUAUAUGAAUUUUUGUGAAUUUUAUAUUAUCUGGUUUAUUGCGUUAACUGCUCAUAUGUGUUCGUAUUUGAGAGAUUUCAAUUUCUAUAUGCUCAGGAGAAAAUAUAGUUUAUUUGGAUAUUUUCAUAUCGAUUUAUGGAAUGUUAGAUGAUUUUAUAAUCGAUUUACGGAUUUAAUUGCGUAUAUUUAUAUUUAUUUAUUAAUUAUUUGACUUCCGUAAAACCGUCCACUCGUAACGAGGUAGCAAAUUUUCUUCCCGAAAGUUUCAACAAAACUGACCUUUAGCCUAAUUUGAAUAUUCCGGACACUUUUCGUGUUUUGACUUUUUCGAUCCGGAGUACGGUUUUCCCCGGAGUCGGUCCGGCGGAGUUUUUCGGGUAUUUUAAUUGUUGAUAAUUAUCCAGUUUGUCUCGAUAUACGUGAAAGCCAGAUAUUUUGAUUAUUAUAUUACUUUUUAUCGAAAUACGUGCAAAUGGGACCCCCAGACCAAUGAUUGAUUUAUAAUGCCCCGUUUUGAUGAUUAUCUCGAAAACCGGUACCGAUUGGACCCCGCUUUACUAAUAUAAAGCUAUUAAAUAUCGUAUUUUCAUGUCAUAAACGAUCCAAAGGGGUACCAAUUAUUUGUAAAUAUAAAUAGCCCUUUCUACACCUUAUUUUCAACCGUAAAUCAUUUCACCAGUUUCUUUUCACGAAUACCGAGAGAAACCGAGCUGCGUUCUUCGUGUUCUUCGUAAUCAAACGAGGAUUUGAAGGUGUUAUUGGAAUCCGAUGGAGGUGUAUGAAUAGUCAAAACGAAGCUAUCGACGCGUAGAAUCUAUUACUAUCAGUGGUUUCAGUGCAGAAUCGACAGGUUUUUGCUAAUUAAGGUUUUUAAUUUCGAAUUUAUAUGAUUUAAAUGAUGAAUUUUUGAAAACGUGAUUGUUUAAUUGUUUUGAUGAUUCUAUGAUGUAGAGCAUGUUUUUCUCGUCGUUUUGGUAUAUUAUAUGUCAAAAACGGAGUUCAAUAACAUGUAGAAAAGUCAGUUUGAUUAUUGAAACUGUUGUUCUUGGUGUUCUUGAGAAAGCUCGCCGGAAAAUUCUUGUUUUGGUCGGGAUUUUGAUUCGUUAAACCUGGGCAGAAGCUAAGCAUACCAUUGAAUAGAUCUUUGAGAGUAUAAUUGAGUGGUGGUGUCAGUUUGUUCAAAGGAGGCGAAACGAGUUCGCCGGAAAAUGGAGAAGUCGGCGGUGGCGCCGACCUUCAACCGGGUUUUACGGCAAAUUGGUGAAGUGCUUGUGAAAUCUGAAAAUACGAGUGGAUUGCUGGACAUCUGUAGAGUAUAUCUGCAGCUGGUGGUCGAGUUCUGGGCUCGAUGGAGCCUCCGGCGACGUCUCCGACGUCGUUCGGCGACGGUAGGGGGUGAUGACUGUAUAAUUACAGUUUAACCCCCGAACAAAUGAAGGUGGUGACUUUUAGUCACCCGAGUUUCAAAUCUUUCAAAACAAACCCUGAUACUUCGAAAACUUGCACUUUCAACCCUGCGUUUAAACUUUUGAAUAGUAACAAUUAAAACCUUUUCAAUUAUUUUUCAAAAAUUAUUUUUUUGGUCAUUUUUUUAUAGUUUUUAAUUAUUUCUUUAUUCAAAAACAAAUCGAAAUUAGUUUAUUAAUUAAUUUCAAUUGGUAAUUAAUUAUAUUAAUUGAUCAAUUAAUUUAAAUAUUAAUUGAUUAAUUAAUUUAAUUAGUUAUUAAUUGAUUUUAAUUGAUUAAUUAAUUGGAUUUAAUUAUCCUUUUUGAUUUAAAAAUUCCGAAAAAUAGUUUCGAGCUUUAAAAUAUUUUUCCAAAUCAUGUUCAAGGCUCGACAAUUGUUUAUGAAUGAUUUCAAGUCCAGUUUUGAGCAUCCGGACUUGAUUAUUUAUUUGAAAAAUGAUUCUUUUAUCCGUUUUAAUUCCGAAAAUGUUUAAAAAUUCCAGAAAAUUCCCGAAAAAAAAUCAUUUUUAACCCAAGAGUGAUUUGAUAUCAAUUGGGGUGGGAAACCUUAUAUGUAAUGUGUUAUCUGCUUUGUGUGUGAUGUGUUAUAUGUUGAUAGUGGAGUCAGAAAACGGCUUAGAUCAUAACUUUUGAUCUGUAAGUCGGAAUCAAGUGAAACGAAAGAGAGAUAGAAGCUCGUGAAGUCUAUUUUAAUAUGACAAGAUAAUAUGAUUGAAUCUAGAAUGUGAUUAUAUGCUAUGUAAUAUGCAAUAUGUAACCAUACGUGAUUUGUUUGUUAUGAAUUGAUGAUUACGUGAUAUAUGUGGUUAUUCCUAAUAUAGUACAUAUGUGAUAAAUGACUUAUAUGACAUAGUGUCAUGAUUUGAUAAGAACAUAUGGAUUAUAGGAAUUGGAAUUGGUUGAUUGGUUGUUGGUUGGGAAUAGGUUGACAGGUGGAUAGUCUUAUAACUAGACAAGAUGCUGGCAGAUUUUCGAUAUGAUUUAUAUGAUUAUUGAUUAUAACAUGUUAUGUAGAAUAUGACUUGACUAUAUGAUAAAGUCAAAGAAUGAUUAUGUGCUAAGUGAUAUGUGAUAAGUUUAAAGGGGUAUAUAAGUGGGUAUCGAUAUACGUGAUAUGUAUAUGCGAUAUAUUGUUUAGUGACUAUAGUAUUAUCUUAUUCUCGUAAAGGAUUUGGACGAGACGUGUACGCUCGAAGACGUCAGAAAGUCGGAAUGGUAUUGCAAAGCGAAUAAGGGAUGAAUCGAGUAAGCGAAGCGAUGUGGCGAAUAG